CCCCAGUGAACGGCGGCCGUAACUAUAACGGUCCUAAGGUAGCGAAAUUCCUUGUCGGGUAAGUUCCGACCCGCACGAAAGGCGUAACGACUUGGAUGCUGUCUCAACCAGAGACUCGGCGAAAUUGGAGUAUCCGUGAAGAUACGGAUUACCCGCAGCAGGACAGAAAGACCCCGUGGAGCUUUACUGUAGCUUGGCUUUGUGUUUUUGAAUAUUAUGUGCAGGAUAAGUGGGAGACUUUGAACUCUUCUCGCUAGAGUUGAGGGAGUCACCGUUGAGAUACCACUCUUAAUAUUUGAGGAUACUAACCGUAUGCCGUUAUCCGGCUACGGAACAGAGUCUGGUGGGCAGUUUGACUGGGGCGGUCGCCUCCCAAAAGGUAACGGAGGCGCUCAAAGGUUCCCUCAGGACGAUUGGAAACCGUCCAUAGAGUGUAAGGGCAUAAGGGAGCUUGACUGUAAGAGGUACAUCUCAAGCAGAGACGAAAGUCGGACCUAGUGAUCCGGUGUUCCCGUGUGGAAGGGACAUCGCUCAACGGAUAAAAGUUACCCCGGGGAUAACAGGCUUAUUCCUCCCAAGAGUUCACAUCGACGGAGGAGUUUGGCACCUCGAUGUCGGCUCGUCACAUCCUGGAGCUGGAGCAGGUUCCAAGGGUUGGGCUGUUCGCCCAUUAAAGUGGUACGCGAGCUGGGUUCAGAACGUCGUAAGACAGUUUGGUCCAUAUCCGCUGUGGGCGCAGGAAAUUUGAGGGGAUUUAUUCCUAGUACGAGAGGACCGGAAUGAACAAACCUAUGGUGUAUCAGUUAUCGUGCCAACGGUAAAUGCUGAGUAGCUACGUUUGGAUCGGAUAAACGCUGAAAGCAUCUAAGCGUGAAGCCGGCCCCAAGAUAAGAUUUCCCAUUCCUUUAUGGAAGUAAGACCUCUUGAAGACUACAAGGUUGAUAGGCUGGAGGUAGAAGUGCAGUAAUGUAUGAAGCUGACCAGUACUAAUAGGUCGAGGUCUUGAUUAC
Molecule: non-coding RNA, 1010 nt
Filed under: Candidatus Magnetoglobus multicellularis str. Araruama
Lineage: Bacteria; Pseudomonadati; Thermodesulfobacteriota; Desulfobacteria; Desulfobacterales; Desulfobacteraceae
Description: Bacterial large subunit ribosomal RNA
Rfam family: Bacterial large subunit ribosomal RNA
Source: Rfam by way of RNAcentral